This 776-nucleotide ribosomal RNA is filed under the name uncultured Neocallimastigales. RNAcentral's name for it is "partial large subunit ribosomal RNA". It matches the Rfam family "Eukaryotic large subunit ribosomal RNA", at positions 26 to 635 of the family's 3401-position model. Lineage: Eukaryota; Fungi; Neocallimastigomycota; Neocallimastigomycetes; Neocallimastigales. The record is from RNAcentral.
CGUCUAUAUACGUAUAGCAUAUCAAUAAGCGGAGGAAAAGAAACUAACUAGGAUUCCCUUAGUAACGGCGAGUGAAGCGGGAAGAGCUCAAAUUUGAAAUCUUCAAGGUUCUACCUUGACGAAUUGUAGUUUAAAGAAGUGUUUUCUGCUGGAGUUUUGGUAAAAGUUCUUUGGAAUAGGACAUCAUAGAGGGUGAGAAUCCCGUAUUUGACCAUUAUUUCCAACUUUGUGAUACACUUUCAAAGAGUCGGAUUGUUUGGGAAUGCAGUCCAAAAUGGGUGGUAAAUUUCAUCUAAAGCUAAAUACUGGCGAGAGACCGAUAGCGAACAAGUACCGUGAGGGAAAGAUGAAAAGAACUUUGAAAAGAGAGUUAAACAGUACGUGAAAUUGUCAAAAGGGAAGCGUUUGACACCAGUGUUGUUUUCUCGAAAAUCAAUUAAAAAUGGCGGGAUUUUGUGUUGUAUUGACUUUAUCAGCUUUCUGCACUUUUUUCCUAUCUUUUUUAAUGCACUUUUCGUUUAACAAGUCAACAUCAAUUUCUUUUGUUGUAAAAGAGUCAUUGGAAGGUGGCUUUCCUUUCGGAUGAAAGUGUUUAUAGCCUUUGACUUCUGCAAUCGGAGAGAUUGAGGUCUGCAGCGUAGAUCCUUCGGGGUUAGAUAGCAUUUGUGCUAAGUUAUAGCCUUUCAUAGACAACUUGUUGACUAUGAUCAGUCAUGUAGCUUACUCGCUUAUGCUAUUUUACCUACGCUUAGGAUGUUGAUCUGUAGUGCGUGCGC